GAUGAACGCUGGCGGCGUGCUUAACACAUGCAAGUCGAACGGAACUACUCCAAUUAGAGUCUUCGGAAAGGAGUUGGUUUAGUGUAGUGGCGGACGGGUGAGUAACGCGUGGGUAACCUGCCCUAUACAGGGGGAUAACAGUUGGAAACGACGGUUAAUACCUCAUAAGCGCACAGGAGCGCAUGCUCCGGGGUGAAAAACUCCGGUGGUAUAGUCUGGACCCGCGUCUGAUUAGCUGGUUGGCGGGGUAACGGCGCACCAAGGCGACGAUGAGUAGCCGGGAGGAGGAGGUGACCGGUCACAUUGGGACUGAGGCACGGCCCAAACUCCUACGGGAGGCAGCAGUGGGGAAUAUUGCACGAGGGGGGAAACCCUGAUGCAGCGACGCCGCGUGAGCGAGGAAGUAUCUCGGUAUGUAAUGCUCUAUCAGCAGAGAAGAAAAUGACGGUACCUGACUAAGAAGCCCCGGCUAACUACGUG
This 480-nucleotide ribosomal RNA is filed under the name uncultured bacterium. Its description in RNAcentral is "partial 16S ribosomal RNA". It matches the Rfam family "Bacterial small subunit ribosomal RNA", at positions 28 to 507 of the family's 1533-position model. The record is from RNAcentral.